RNAcentral lists this long non-coding RNA (256 nucleotides) under Ananas comosus (pineapple). RNAcentral's name for it is "long non-coding RNA (ACOM_LNC027517)". The record is from RNAcentral. Lineage: Eukaryota; Viridiplantae; Streptophyta; Magnoliopsida; Poales; Bromeliaceae.
AAGACUUUUCAUGAAUUAUUAUUUUUAUAUUAGAUUGAUUUUAUGGUUUACAGAUCCAGAAUCUUUUUUUUUAGAGAGAAAGGUAGCACGCUACCCGCUUCGUUUAUUUCAUUUAGAAAUAAACUUAGCUGGAAAUGUGAAUCAACUAGGAUUCAAACUUGAAUCUCGGAUACAAACCAUCACUUGCUCUAGGGACGGUUGGUAACAGAUUCAGAAUCUUCCGCUCACAUAUUUAGUUAUAUGUAGUUUAGAAGAU